AGCGAGCGCUGGCGGCAGGCUUAACACAUGCAAGUCGAGCGGGCACUUUCGGGUGUCAGCGGCGGACGGGUGAGUAACGCGUGGGAACGUGCCCUCUGGUUCGGAAUAACUCAGGGAAACUUGAGCUAAUACCGGAUACGCCCUUUUGGGGAAAGGCUUGCUGCCGGAGGAUCGGCCCGCGUCUGAUUAGCUAGUUGGUGAGGUAACGGCUCACCAAGGCGACGAUCAGUAGCUGGUCUGAGAGGAUGAUCAGCCACACUGGGACUGAGACACGGCCCAGACUCCUACGGGAGGCAGCAGUGGGGAAUAUUGGACAAUGGGCGCAAGCCUGAUCCAGCCAUGCCGCGUGAGUGAUGAAGGUCUUAGGGUUGUAAAGCUCUUUUAUCCGGGACGAUAAUGACGGUACCGGAGGAAUAAGCCCCGGCUAACUUCGUG
This 435-nucleotide ribosomal RNA is filed under the name uncultured bacterium. RNAcentral describes it as "partial 16S ribosomal RNA". It matches the Rfam family "Bacterial small subunit ribosomal RNA", at positions 29 to 507 of the family's 1533-position model. The record is from RNAcentral.